AGCCAAACUAAUUUAUUUAAAUAAGGUUUUUAGUUCUAUUGCCUUACCAAUUUGCCAGAUGGAUCUAAUUAUCUAAAAUGUAUAUUAUCUAAUUUAAUUGCAGUGUUGCCAGACAACCACCUCUUUCAGAUCUACUUGCCACAUCUUGUGACGUUGUUCACAGAUGCACAUAAGCCCCAUUAAGGUGUACAGAAGGGUCUGCCUUUACUGUAGGCAACUCUCGGCCUUAUUAUCUCACAUAAUUGACCACUUUCACAAAAGUGGUGUUUAUUCUACUGGUAUAGGUUUCUACCAUAACCAUAUGUUGUAGCUCUGAAUGGUGGUUUCCAAUAGACAAUAACUAUUGUUUUAUCAUGCUGCAUUUUGUGGAUUUUAGGAGAAACCUGUGGUGCAGUUACAGUUGUCUCUGUGCAACCUGUAUGUUUACAAAACAUAAGUUCUGUUUCCUUGAGUAGUAAUUUCAAUAAAAGAAGAAGGACUCAUCUAUAAACAAAGUUAGGCUUCCAAACUCUGUGUGCAAGUAAUGCCAUUUACAGCCAUUGUUAUCCUGUUUAAAGAAGCUGCAUCUAAAGGCCAGAGUUAUGUCCUGCUGCAACAUCAAAAUGAUGUUAGAAAAUAAUUAUAUGCCAGCUAUAUGAAACGAGAAACUACAGGGAUAAACUUCCUGUCUGUCACGCAUAGUUUCAAACAUCUUCUAAAAGAGAAGGAAAGGGUUAUAGAUAUGUGACCCUGCAUAACAAAUCCUGCAGUAACAAGCUCAUGUGGAGGGACCCAUGCUGAGCAUUCAGAUUUCCUGUGUGAUGUUGGAAGGGCAUCAGGCGCUGGGUACUGCACAACUCUCCCUGGUUUUCAAAUGACCCUCCAGCCCAUCUUGUCUACCAGCCAUCCAUAUAGAGAAACUGCCUUUGAAGCCCACUAAAGAUCUGAAUAAAUAUUUCAAUUCUUCUUAUCACUGGUAUAAGAACAGAUGACAAUUCCCUUCUUAGUCUUCAUGCUUGACUCACUCUUAGGCAAAAAUCACUGGAUCAUGUCAUAGGCUGAAAUUUGCCUUGCAAUCCAUGCAGUUUUAAUCUAUUUACAGUGGCAGGACUGGAUUUCCCCCCCCCAGCCAUGCCUGUCAAUGUCAGUGCACUGAUAUUUAGAUGUAUAUCUACCUAAAGCAUCGUCAAUUUGAAGAGGCAUUGGCUUUCGCCUAUAUGCGGACCACUGGAUUCACGAGUACAAUUUGGAAAUCAUUUGUACGUUAGACUAGGAAUGAUGAGGGCUUGAAGAGCUGAAGAAAACAAAAACUCACCAUUUAUACUGUGCAUGACUACUUAGGCAAAAGGUUUCUUAAUAGCAUAUACAUCAUUUCUUUCCAGCAAUAGUUUCCUGGAGGAUGGGAGGUGAGGUAUAGAUUAUGUGUCAAAGUGAAUAUACAGAUGUCACAAAUCACUGUGAUGCACCAUGAUUGUCUAAGUAUUCUAUAAGGAGAUAAAGUUUUUUUUCUGAAAAAUAUUACUAUGUAUGGUUUCCCUGGAAAGAUUAAGAACUUCAUGGACACAGAACGUUGGCUGCUCUCUGCCUUUUGAGAUACACCUUGAAAAGAUGGUAUAAGUGAACUGUGGACCACAGAUGAAGCAAUGUGUUUCAAAAGGGAUAUAUUAGAAAAAAGCAGAAGAGGAGAAUUUCAGAUCAGAACAAGAGUGCACUGCCCUCUUAUUGUAUAACUUUACAUAGUUUGGGUCAGGUAAUGUUACUAUUGGACUUGAUUUCAUUGCAUGCACAAAGUCAAACUCUUUUCUCUGUCAAAUCUGUGCUUUUCCAUUAAUAGAUGAGCAGGAAGAUCUGUAGCAAAGUGAAUGUUUGUAAGUACUAAACUCAGUUCAGAUGUAUGGUAAGGCUCAUCAUGGGAUGAAUGUGAAACCUCGUUAAGGUACAGCUCGCCUGUUAAUAACAAUGAGUCUCAAACAGUGUUGCGUGUUGAACACACAUGCAUAAUAAAAAAUUACAGAACAAAAUAUUGGGGGGCAUUUAAAUCAUACUGGAAAAUGUGUUAUCUUUAACAGCAUUUUAUAUCAAAUGAACCAUCAGAGGUAUAACUGAUGACAAAAUGUGGUAAGAUCGGGGCGAAUCAACUCCGUCUCUCUACCUAUCUAUUUUCACUCUCAUAAGCCAAAGUUUUUACAGGUCCAUCUUAGCCAGGUAGAGAAGUCAGGUUAAAAAACUGCUUUGUCUCACCACAAGUGUAUAAAACAGCUGAAUGAAAGUGGUUCUGUAAACAGAAGUAAAACAACAGAUGAGCUCAGCCUUCAAAUUACUGGGCUAUAAAGGAGUAAAUGAACAACGAUUUUAUUACUGAGAUUAUUGUAGAAUUCAGUCUAUAAAUUUUUUUAUUCUUGCUGACUUUAGAGAAAUAUGAAAAUACAUGACAAGAAAUCUAUAUAACUUCUGUAAGCUGAGAUUCGUAAUAAAUUAAUGUGGGUAUAAUGUGAAUGAGAAUCCCUAGCAUUACAUAUUCCUAGUGUAUAUCCAUUGAUGUUGUGCUUUGCUAUAAAUGUUUUUAAAAAGCAUUGGACUUGGAAGCUUAAUUAUUUAUUGAAUUAGGAUGUACUUACUAAAGUCUGUUGAGCUUGAGGCUGCCUGAAGUUUCCACAACAGAAAAGUGAUCCUAACAAUGAGUAAGUCAAGGUAACUAGAGUAACGUGAUAAAUCAGGCUAACUACAGCAGUGACUGUCUUCCUAGCAUGCUGCUGUUUGCUUAGUCAUUGCAAUCUCUUCUAAGAGAAGUCUGUGAUCCGUAUCAGGAUUUUCCAACUGAAAUCCUGUAUCAUAAGUACAUUGUUCAUGACACUGGAUUAACAGCACUGGCUUUGUACUGGCUUUUUGGUUCACCUUCCUACAAAAAUGUACUCUGUGAAAUAAUUUUAGAAACUUCUCUGCAAUACGUAUUUGAAAGGACACUUCACGUUAAAAUUGUAGUUAACUAUUUUUUUUUUAAGUUUUACUGCAAUGCAAUCAUAGCACGAGGAAGUCUUAAUGAAUUUGAUAAAGUCAUGUAAUUUGUGUUGCUUACGCCAUGUACUUCUGCAUAUAUUGCCUUUUGUGUAUUUAAAUGGUCAAUAAAAUCAACACAUUUGUAAUUUAAGUUCAAA
Molecule: long non-coding RNA, 3134 nt
Organism: Anas platyrhynchos (mallard)
Lineage: Eukaryota; Metazoa; Chordata; Aves; Anseriformes; Anatidae
Source: RefSeq, a predicted model, not a curated record